RNAcentral lists this ribosomal RNA (460 nucleotides) under uncultured bacterium. RNAcentral describes it as "partial 16S ribosomal RNA". It matches the Rfam family "Bacterial small subunit ribosomal RNA", at positions 338 to 795 of the family's 1533-position model. The record is from RNAcentral.
CCUACGGGAGGCAGCAGUGAGGAAUAUUGGUCAAUGGACGAGAGUCUGAACCAGCCAAGUAGCGUGAAGGAUGACUGCCCUAUGGGUUGUAAACUUCUUUUAUAUGGGAAUAAAAUGUUCCACGUGUGGGAUUUUGUAUGUACCAUAUGAAUAAGGAUCGGCUAACUCCGUGCCAGCAGCCGCGGUAAUACGGAGGAUCCGAGCGUUAUCCGGAUUUAUUGGGUUUAAAGGGAGCGUAGGUGGAUUGUUAAGUCAGUUGUGAAAGUUUGCGGCGCAACCGUAAAAUUGCAGUUGAAACUGGCAGUCUUGAGUACAGUAGAGGUGGGCGGAAGUCGUGGUGUAGCGGUGAAAUGCUUAGAUAUCACGAAGAACUCCGAUUGCGAAGGCAGUUCACUGGACUGCAACUGACACUGAGGCUCGAAAGUGUGGGUAUCAAACAGGAUUAGAUACCCGAGUAGUC